UUCCCGUUUCUUUCCAAUUUCUCAUUUUUCAUUUUUCUAUUUUUAGCUUCUUAUUUAGGGUUUUUUAACUUCUGAUUUCUUUCCAAUUCAUUUUUCAAAGCUCGAUUCGAAGAUGGAUGGUGGAGAUGUUGAUGGGCAUGAAGUAAUGAAAGCUUACGAUGUAAGUGAAAUUAAUGGUAGGAAAUUAGGAAUUUGUGAACACGAGAAAGAAUUAAAUUAGGGACAUGGGUUUCUUUUUUUUCGGAACUUCAUGAAAAGAGAUCAGAUGAUCCUGAAAAGAGCAAGGUGAUAGAUAUUUGAAGCCGUGUUAUUAUUCUUGAACCAGAAGUUACAUUUCUACCUCGUGCAAAAGACGACGAAUGUCUACGAAUGAAGAGGCAUGUAACUUAACUCGUAGACACAUACUUCUCUGGCAUAAGAAAAAUGGCUCAGAAUUGUUCUCAGUAAGGGGAGAGGGAAUCGAUCCUGCUGCAUAGGCAGCUGCAGAAUACCUAUCCAACUGAUGAUGAAUUUGGCGUGCCAUAUACUUAGGAGAACCAACAUUUGAUGAAUUCGUCAGACUUUAAUUUUUUUUUUCUUUUA
Vicia villosa (hairy vetch) is the source of this 582-nucleotide long non-coding RNA. RefSeq lists it as uncharacterized. The record is from RefSeq and is a predicted model, not a curated record. The transcript has 4 exons. NCBI's taxonomy places the organism in Eukaryota, Viridiplantae, Streptophyta, Magnoliopsida, Fabales, Fabaceae.